GAUGAACGCUAGCGGCAGGCUUAACACAUGCAAGUCGAGGGGCAGCAUGACACGGAGAUUCGUCGAAGUGUUGAUGGCGACCGGCGCAAGGGUGCGUAACGCGUGAGCAACUUGCCCGUUUCUGGGGAAUAACCGGUGGAAACGCCGACUAAUACCCCAUAGUAUAACGAAGAGGCAUCUUUUUGUUAUUAAAGAAUUUCGGAAACGGAUAGGCUCGCGUGACAUUAGCUAGUUGUGGGGUAACGGCCCACCAAGGCGACGAUCAGUAGCCGGUCUGAGAGGAUGAACGGCCACAUUGGGACUGAGACACGGCCCAAACUCCUACGGGAGGCAGCAGUGGGGAAUAUUGGGCAAUGGGGGAAACCCUGACCCAGCAACGCCGCGUGAAGGAAGAAGGCCUUCGGGUUGUAAACUUCUUUUACCAGGGACGAAGAACGUGACGGUACCUGGAGAAAAAGCAACGGCUAACUACGUG
Molecule: ribosomal RNA, 475 nt
Filed under: uncultured bacterium
Lineage: Bacteria
Description: bacterial SSU rRNA
Rfam family: Bacterial small subunit ribosomal RNA
Source: RNAcentral